Colossoma macropomum (tambaqui) is the source of this 4871-nucleotide RNA transcript. It is a transcript of the gene named zinc finger protein 883-like, with no coding region annotated. The record is from RefSeq and is a predicted model, not a curated record. The transcript is spliced from 4 exons. Lineage: Eukaryota; Metazoa; Chordata; Actinopteri; Characiformes; Serrasalmidae.
GCCUUUACUAAAGAGGCCUUGACAAACCAUGAGUUCCAUGCAGAACCAUCUCGUGCUUAAAUUGUUCUGUGCAUUGUGAAAUUGUUCUUCAAGAUUGAUCCAGAAUGUAUAGAACCUUUCAAAAUAUGGUUCUAUGUAGCAACAAAAGGUUCUGCUAUUGCUACAAGCUUGACAUUGUAACAAUAGAAGAACCCCCUUUAGUGUUAUAUAGUAACAUACAGAACUCAGGGUUCUAAAUAGAACUUGAAGAACCAUCUUUUUAAGUGUGUAGUCAGUAGUGAAACAAGCCUGACAGAUUCCCAUAAUACUGGUAAAUCACAGUAAAUCCAGACAGUGCUUUAUAAGCUCUAACAGCACCUGUGCGGCUCCGCUGAAUUGUCCCCUCUGCUCUUCCGUAGAACAUUAAACUUAGCCCUGAAGAAACAGGUCGACCGGUUUGUCCAGCCUCCUCGCGCGUAUGUGGGGCAGCUGUGGGAGUUCACUCGGCCUGUUAGUGUCCAGUUUCAGUUUCAGAGGGUUUGGGUUGGUGUUUUUGACCUGCAGGUCCUGAAUGUCCACCUUCAGCCUUUAAAGAGCUCAAACCAGCCGCCAGACGCAGCUUCAGGCAUGUCCUGCACCAAGGCGGUGAGCACUGACCUCUCCAUGGUGGACAUCUCCUGCCUGGAGGGUCUCCGGACUGAACUGGCGCAGCUGAGGACGCUGGUGGCGACGUUAGAGGCGAAGUUGAAGCAGAAGGAGCAGGGCGAGCUUGAAUAUGAGGAUCUGAAGCGUGAAGUCAAUGAUGUAGGGCAACAAACGCUGGACGUGGCCAGCUUUUUAGCUGAUCUUAAAAAUGAACAGUUUUCAAAAGAAAUAGCCAGUACUGGACACCGUGGUGAAGACCAGUCCACCCCGCAGGAUCUGGAGGAUGCGCUCAACGUGACUCCCGUUCGUGCAAAUGGACAGACCACCGCAGAGACCCAGGAAGCUGUGGGUGAAGAUGAAAACCAGCGAGCACUUCAGGAGCUGGAGGAAGGACCUCCACAGUGUAAACAUGAGCCAAACCCUGUGCAGAUGUCCUACACUGUGUUCAGCGGUGGAGACCAGCAGACGCUGUUACAGAUGUGUUCAGUGAAGCUGGUGGACUGUGGGAAGAUGGUCAGCCUGGACAGUCAUGAUGAAGACACGCUGACCUCAGGUGAGCAGCGCCAGUUGUCAUCCUGCAGUGGGAGCAGUCAGCAAUCUGGAGAAAUGAUUCGGAAGAAAAAGAUUAGGCGAAAACCAAUGCAUCAGAAGCCUCCCUGGACAUCCAGAUGCUUAAGCAAACUUGCAAGACGCAACAGACGAAGAAGACCUUACUCCUGCUCACAGUGUGGAAAGACUUUAUCUACUUUAUCAAGCCUUAAAAUACACAUGAGAGUGCACACAGGCGAGAGGCCUUUCAAGUGCUCUUACUGUGGUAAGACUUUCAUUCAGUCGGGAUACCUGACAAUCCAUCAGAGGAUACAUACCGGAGAGAAGCCUUACCAGUGCACUCAGUGUGAUAAGGCCUUCCGCGACUCGGGGCACCUCACGACUCAUUUGAGAGCUCAUGCUGGAAUAAAACCUUACCAGUGCUCCGAGUGUGAUAAGGCUUUUCCAAAUUCCUCUUCAUUUAAAGUCCAUCAGAGAGUACAUACUGGACAGAAGCCCUACCAGUGUCCCAUUUGUGAGAAACAGUUCUCGUGCUCAUCAAGCCUUAGAAGCCAUCAGGCAUUACAUGCAAAGCAACGGCCUCACCAGUGCUCUCAGUGUAGCAAGUCCUUCACUAAUUCAGCAAAACUCAAAGUCCACCAGAGGACUCAUACUGGAGAGAAACCGUACCAGUGCUCUCAGUGCGGUAAGACUUUUAGUCAAUCAGGAAGUCUUACGACCCAUCAGAAGUUACAUGCUUCAGAGAGGCCUUACCAGUGCUCCCAGUGUGAUAAAGCGUUCACACGCUCGGUGUACCUUAAAAACCACCAGCGAAAACAUACCGGAGAGAAGCCUUACGAGUGCACCAUGUGUGGAAAAAGGUUUGCACACUCAUCAAUACUGAAAAUACACAAGAGAACACACACUGGAGAAAAACCUUACCAGUGCUUGACCUGUGGAAAGCAGUUCUCCAGCUCAGCAUCGUUAAUAGGGCAUCGAAUUGUUCACACUGGAGAAAAGCAACACCAGUGCUCCACUUGUGGAAAAAAGUUUGCGUACCCUUCGUUGCUUGAAAAGCACCAAAGGGUCCAUACGAAAGAAAAGCCCUUUCACUGCUCCCAGUGUGACAAGACGUUUGCUCAGUCUUCAGCCCUUAGAGCCCAUCAGAGGGUACACACCGGAGAAAAGCCGUACCAGUGCUCUGUCUGCGGGGUGAAGUUUUCAAAUUCAUCUAUACUAGCAAGGCAUCAGAGCGUCCACACUGGAGAGAAGCCUUAUGAGUGCUCUACUUGCGGAAAACAAUUCCCGAGGUAUUCUAAUCUUAGACUCCAUCAGCGGACACACACAAAUGAAAAGCCUUACCAGUGCUCUCAGUGUGAGAAGACCUUCGCUCACUCAUACAGCCUCAAAAUCCAUCAGAGAAUACAUACAGGAGAAAAACCUUACCAUUGCACUGAGUGUGGCAAGACUUUUACACAGCUGUCGCACCUUCGGAGCCAUCAGAAAGUACAUACGCCAAGGAUGUAACAAUGCACUGUCUGUGAAAGAGUGACACUGUUUUUCUGUAAUUUUAGUCUUGCAGGCCCAGACGUGACGAGGGUACAUGUCUGGGGACAGUUUGUUAAAGGUUUGGUGCUGGAAUGCAGUAAAAUCUGUCGCUAGCAAGGGUGCGCCCCCUCUAAAACCCAUCUCGAUUUCCUCUAGCUAGUGAAAAGCUAUUGUUAGCUAAUGUUCAUUCUUCAAAAUGAAUGUUUUUGUAGUUCUAGAAUGGGAUGAAAGGCAUAAUUGAAGUAUAGCUGAAUCAGCUCAGGUUUGUGGACAUUGUGGGGGUGAUGAUGCUUUGAUGACUUCUUUUGUUUACACAGGGCCCAUGUCCUGCAUGCUUCCUGCAUUUUAUUUUCAAUUUAUGAUGUUUGUACAGUUUUAUGUAUCAAGAAGAGCCACGGUGACCAUUUUCCCAACUUUUCCAUCUAUAAGGGCUUAACUGCUGUAGGUGGAUGUAUGUAAAUGAGGUAUUUUGUGACCUCACAGAAGAUUUUAUAUGGGUUUUGUUUAUAUAUGGACUGUUUGGGACAGAGAGUGAACGGUACGUUUUGAAAAUGUUUUUUGCACUACAUCAAGCUUUUAUUUCAGAUAUGUUUUAAGAUAUUUUAACAUAGGAAUUUAUUUUUGUAAGCAGAUUUUGGACUAAGACAUCCGUUCAGGCUUCAGUCCAACCUUUCUUGUGUUGGGUAACAUUUUUCUUGCUUCUGGAGAUGACCACUGAUGGGUAGGACAGAAAUGUUUUGGCUUUAAUUUUGGUCAGCGUGGACAGUUAAAUCGUGGCUAUGGCUGGGUAUCUUUUUCAAUAUCGAUACAAUACUGAUAGCUUGACUCUGAUAAGAUUCCUGAACAGCACUUUUUUGAUAGAUAUUUUAUUACAAACAAAUUGUGGGUGUGGCUAAAUGAGAAAUGAAUGGGGUGCUGGAAGCAGGUAUACUGAUGGACCUAAAUGGACUUAAAACUUUAAAAAGCUGAUGUUGACAGCAAAUGGACUAUAUAGAUACCCAAUCAGCAGUCUGCUUUUCGAUUACAGAUGCUGAUAAGGCUGAUGUCUUAGGUAUUGGAAUUUUAUACUCAAUGAUGUGAACAUUUUCUGAUAAUUUGCAUUAUUGAAUACUUCAGCCUGUACCAUGGAGGUAUGAAAUUUCGAUACCCUGCCCUAAUUGUGGUACAUGGACCAGCAUGUUUAAGUGAAGAAGUUUUGAAUCUGUUCAAAGUUUGAAUGUUCUUAGAUUUUAUUACAGGGUAAGAGGGUCUUCUUUUUGAAUGUCGAGGACUUAAACUGGAAAAGUUCACUUUUUACAUGUUCUUUGUUUAUUGCUCUGUUUUCUGAUUGUGUCUUUUUAAGUUGGAAUGUAAAAAAAAGUGUCAAAGUUUCAAACGGCACUACGAAAUGCAGUUAUAGUUUUGAUACAGUCAAAUUAAGGCAUGUGAAACAUGGGAGAAUUUUAAAUAUUUGUUUCUUUCACCACUUUUUACAAAUGUUUGAGUGAGUGGUGAGUGUUGGACCACAAACCAAAGGAGAAUAACAGCAUCAGUUCCUCAUACACUGGUUAGACCAGUGUUCUCCGACCCUGGUCCGGGAUGUCUGCCCGCUCUGCACUGUGCUUCCUGAGCUGCAAUAAACACAUUAGAGCUGGGAAGACAUGAAAACAAUGCAGGUGGGGUCUCCAGGAAUGGAGCUGGAAUGCAAAACAUUAGGCAAGACCAUCAGCAAAUUUGACCUUACUCAAGAUAGAAAAUUAUUUUGCACAUGCGGUGAAAGUUAUGAAAACACUAGUGGAAGCUUUUUCUGUCUUAGUUUGGUUUAUUUGGUGUCUUGACCACAUCUCAUCAGCACUUGUUAUGGAAUACUGUGAAUGUUUUUUGCUACUCUACUUGUAGUUAGAAUUGAAAUUAAAUUCAGUUUGUUGUGAAUUGCUGUGUUGCUUUAAUCUCUGAUCUUCAGUAGAUGGCAGUCUUGCCAUUUGGGCUAUAAUGGGAGGAGCUUGUGAGAUUGGACAUCCCUGAUUCACACCUGAGAAGCUGUGAACAACUAAAGCAGAUCUCAUUUUAGAGAGUGUUAAGCAAAAGGAGGAAGAACUCCUGUCAUCAGAGAAACAAGCCAACCUAAAUAAAUGCACACAUAAGAGGAAUUCCAUCAGGCCAAAUGAAUGGAUGUCAGAGGGAGCAUUUUC